This is a non-coding RNA of Mycena rebaudengoi, 94 nucleotides long. NCBI's taxonomy places the organism in Eukaryota, Fungi, Basidiomycota, Agaricomycetes, Agaricales, Mycenaceae. The record is from the annotation of a GenBank genome assembly.
GACCUGUUGGCGCAGUGGUUAGCGCACCCACAAUAACUGGCGCAAUAAUUUCUCCAUUAUGUGGGCGGUCCCAGUUUGACUCUGGGAUAGGUCA